Platichthys flesus (European flounder) is the source of this 698-nucleotide long non-coding RNA. RefSeq lists it as uncharacterized. The transcript has 7 exons. The record is from RefSeq and is a predicted model, not a curated record. Lineage: Eukaryota; Metazoa; Chordata; Actinopteri; Pleuronectiformes; Pleuronectidae.
GUCAAGGACCGUCUAUAUAUACAAAGGCUGGGCUCUAGUUCAGUCUUUCGUCCGGGCAAUCCAAACUUAAAGGGGGAAGAAGACAAUCGUGAGGACUUCCAAAAUAUAAAAACUUAACUAAAGGCUAUAAAAUGCACCGCCACUCCGAGUCUGCUCAGCCCAUGACUGAGUGUCUCAGAAGGUUUUGCUGCACCACUUGCAGCCACACAAAGAUGAAGAAUGAUGGCGGCAGAGGUUGACUGGGGCUCCUCAGAGCGCUGAGAUGAACAGCUUUUUCUCUUGAUCCAGACCUGGGUUCUUCUUUGGUCAGGUGUUAAGUCUGUGGCCAUGCGCUUAUGGUGUUUGUGGUGGUGACUAGAUGGGAUCUCCUUUAGCUAAUCAAACACUGAAAGGAGAUGAAGUCCCAGUUGUGCAGCUGUAUAACUGAGGCAACUCCAACUAGACUACAACCCCGGCACAAACACUGGACCAGGUGUUUAACUGCUACCAAGUGUCAGAGCUGUUCAACAUCAGGUCAUCUGGGAAAUGGAGCAGUCUUGACUGCUGAAAGAUGCACUCCAUUACAGCAUGUAAAUGAGUCAGAAACAAGCCUGUCAGUGGGAAGUGUCCUGUAUUAUGUACAUAUGGCUUACACUCAGGUGCUAUAAUUGUAAUAACUGUUGACAGGCAGAUGACUUAAAAUAAAAUUAUUGACAAGA